Molecule: ribosomal RNA, 253 nt
Filed under: uncultured bacterium
Lineage: Bacteria
Description: partial 16S ribosomal RNA
Rfam family: Bacterial small subunit ribosomal RNA
Source: RNAcentral
UACGUAGGGUGCGAGCGUUGUCCGGAAUUACUGGGCGUAAAGAGCUCGUAGGUGGUUUGUCGCGUUGUUCGUGAAAACCGGGGGCUUAACCCUCGGCGUGCGGGCGAUACGGGCAGACUGGAGUACUGCAGGGGAGACUGGAAUUCCUGGUGUAGCGGUGGAAUGCGCAGAUAUCAGGAGGAACACCGGUGGCGAAGGCGGGUCUCUGGGCCGAUACUGACACUGAGGAGCGAAAGCGUGGGGAGCGAACAGG